This 193-nucleotide transfer-messenger RNA is filed under the name bacterium. RNAcentral describes it as "partial transfer-messenger RNA". It matches the Rfam family "transfer-messenger RNA", at positions 1 to 194 of the family's 374-position model. From Rfam's summary of the family: Bacterial tmRNA, also known as 10Sa RNA or SsrA, is named for its dual tRNA and mRNA-like properties. The record is from RNAcentral.
GGGGGCGUCAGGUUUCGACAGGGCCGGACCGAGUCUUGGUUGCGAGCGGUGGUUGAUCAGUAGGCCACCUUAAAAGCUGAUCAAAAAAGCAAAUGCGAACAACAACUUCGCUUUCGCUGCCUAAGGUAACCCCUUAGCUCAGUGAGGUCCUCCGGGGGAGCGUCGGUAGCUUCCGGUCAGGGUCUGAUACAAC